This 207-nucleotide ribosomal RNA is filed under the name uncultured bacterium. RNAcentral's name for it is "partial 16S ribosomal RNA". It matches the Rfam family "Bacterial small subunit ribosomal RNA", at positions 568 to 774 of the family's 1533-position model. The record is from RNAcentral.
UGUGUAGGCGGCUUUCCAAGUUUGGUGUGAAAUCUCCCGGCUCAACCGGGAGAGUGCGCCGAAAACUGGAAGGCUAGAGUGCGGGAUGGGAGAGUGGAAUUCCUGGUGUAGCGGUGAAAUGCGUAGAUAUCAGGAGGAACACCGGUGGUGUAGACGGCUCUCUGGACCGUAACUGACGCUGAGACACGAAAGCGUGGGUAGCAAACA